GAUGAACGUUGGCGGCGUGCCUAAUACAUGCAAGUCGAACGGAGAUUGUAGUAAUACGGUCUCAGUGGCGAACGGGUGAGUAACGCGUUGGUGACCUGCCCCGAAGUGUGGAAUAACAGAUCGAAAGAGCUGCUAAUACCGCAUAAUAUCCAGAAGAUUAGACGCUUUUGGAUUAAAGGAUUUAUUCGCUUCGGGAGGGGCCUGCGUCCCAUCAGCUAGUUGGUAAGGUAAUGGCUUACCAAGGCUAUGACGGGUAGGGACCUGAGAGGGUGGCCCCCCAAAUGGAACUGAAACACGGUCCAUACACCUACGGGUGGCAGCAGUAGGGAAUAUUAGUAAUGGGCGAAAGCCUGAACUAGCAACGCCGCGUGUGCGAAGAAGGCCUUCGGGUUGUAAAGCACUUUUAGAGAGGAUGAGGAAGGACGGUACUCUCAGAAUAAGUCUCGGCUAACUACGUG
This 458-nucleotide ribosomal RNA is filed under the name uncultured bacterium. Its description in RNAcentral is "bacterial SSU rRNA". It matches the Rfam family "Bacterial small subunit ribosomal RNA", at positions 28 to 507 of the family's 1533-position model. The record is from RNAcentral.